RNAcentral lists this ribosomal RNA (242 nucleotides) under Vibrio albus. Its description in RNAcentral is "Vibrio sp. E4404 partial 23S ribosomal RNA". It matches the Rfam family "Bacterial large subunit ribosomal RNA", at positions 1 to 238 of the family's 2925-position model. Lineage: Bacteria; Pseudomonadati; Pseudomonadota; Gammaproteobacteria; Vibrionales; Vibrionaceae. The record is from RNAcentral.
GUUGUAUGGUUAAGUGACUAAGCGUACACGGUGGAUGCCUUGGCAGUCAGAGGCGAUGAAGGACGUAUUAACUUGCGAUAAGCGUAGAUUAGGCAGUAAAAGCCACUUGAGUCUACGAUUUCCGAAUGGGGAAACCCACUUACAUAAGUAAGUAUCUUGCACUGAAUACAUAGGUGUAAGAAGCAAACCGGGGGAACUGAAACAUCUAAGUACCCCGAGGAAGAGAAAUCAACCGAGAUUCC